Molecule: ribosomal RNA, 250 nt
Filed under: uncultured bacterium
Lineage: Bacteria
Description: partial 16S ribosomal RNA
Rfam family: Bacterial small subunit ribosomal RNA
Source: RNAcentral
UACGUAGGUGGCGAGCGUUAUCCGGAAUUAUUGGGCGUAAAGGGUGCGUAGGUGGUCUUUUAAGUGAGAUGUGAAAUCCCGGGGCUUAACUCCGGAACUGCAUUUCAAACUGGGAGACUAGAGUGCAGGAGAGGAAAGUGGAAUUCCUAGUGUAGCGGUGAAAUGCGUAGAGAUUAGGAGGAACACCAGUGGCGAAGGCGACUUUCUGGACUGUAACUGACACUGAGGCACGAAAGCGUGGGGAGCAAAC